RNAcentral lists this unclassified non-coding RNA (167 nucleotides) under uncultured fungus. RNAcentral describes it as "sequence contains 18S rRNA gene, ITS1, 5.8S rRNA gene, ITS2". Lineage: Eukaryota; Fungi. The record is from RNAcentral.
ACACAAAGACUGACUUGCAGCAUAAAAGCGACGCCGAAGCGCCGAAGCACAUGUUGCUUCCACAGGUUUGCAAGGUUGAAGGCCCAGAGGCCAUUCGUUAAUGAUCCCUCCGCAGGUUCACCUACGGAGACCUUGUUACGACUUUUACUUCCUCUAAAUGACCAAGA